GGUCGGGUCCUGUGCGACAAUUCACUGUGAACCAUGUCAGGCGGGGAACCGAGCAGCAUUAAGCAGAUCGUUUUGUGUGCCGCAGCAAAUCCGGUCGUU
This 99-nucleotide signal recognition particle RNA is filed under the name bacterium. RNAcentral's name for it is "signal recognition particle sRNA small type". It matches the Rfam family "Bacterial small signal recognition particle RNA". Rfam says of the family: The signal recognition particle (SRP) is a universally conserved ribonucleoprotein involved in the co-translational targeting of proteins to membranes. Archaeal SRP consists of a 7S RNA and homologues of the eukaryotic SRP19 and SRP54 proteins. In most bacteria, the SRP consists of a 4.5S RNA and the Ffh protein (a homologue of the eukaryotic SRP54 protein). The record is from RNAcentral.